ACCUGCUCGGUGAAUAUAUUUUAACAGCCGCGGUACUCUGACCGUGCAAAGGUAGCAUAAUCAUUUGCCUUAUAAUUGAAGGCUAGUAUGAAUGGUUUGACGAGAAUUAAGCUGUCUCUUUUUAACUAAAUAUAACUUUAUUAAGAGGUGAAGAAGCCUGUAUUUUAUUGAAAGACAAGAAGACCCUAUCGAGCUUUAAAGAAUUUAGUAGCUUUACCAUAUAUUAAUAAAAAAGUAAAGCAACUAAAUAUUUUGGUUGGGGCGACUGAGGAACUAACAAAGCUUCCUUUAUGCUAAUUAAAACUUACAAGUAUUGAUCCAAUUUAUUUGAUUAAAGAAAUUAGUUACCGUAGGGAUAACAGCAUAAUCUCCUUUGAGAGUUCUCAUCGAAAAGGGGGUUUGUGACCUCGAUGUUGGACCAGAAUACCCAGAAGAUGCAGCCGUCUUCAAUGGUUGGUCUGUUCGACCAUUAAAAUUCUACGUGAUCUGAGUUCAGACCGGCGUGAGCCAGGUCAGUUUCUAUCUUCAAUUUUUAUAGUGGCCUUAGU
Molecule: ribosomal RNA, 548 nt
Filed under: Reishia clavigera
Lineage: Eukaryota; Metazoa; Mollusca; Gastropoda; Neogastropoda; Muricidae
Description: partial 16S ribosomal RNA
Rfam family: Bacterial large subunit ribosomal RNA
Source: RNAcentral